ACCAGUUUAGUUUAAAAAAAACACCAAUUUGUGAUAUUGGAGAAAGAGCCAAAAACCUCUAACUGAUC
Molecule: transfer RNA, 68 nt
Filed under: Ophioplocus japonicus
Lineage: Eukaryota; Metazoa; Echinodermata; Ophiuroidea; Amphilepidida; Ophiolepididae
Description: tRNA-His
Source: RNAcentral